RNAcentral lists this ribosomal RNA (352 nucleotides) under uncultured Anaplasma sp. Its description in RNAcentral is "bacterial SSU rRNA". It matches the Rfam family "Bacterial small subunit ribosomal RNA", at positions 126 to 500 of the family's 1533-position model. The record is from RNAcentral. Lineage: Bacteria; Pseudomonadati; Pseudomonadota; Alphaproteobacteria; Rickettsiales; Anaplasmataceae.
CGUACUGUAGAGUAUGGGGUUGCCACUAGGAUCGGUUGAGGCUAAUACUCGUCAUAAUCCGCUCUGCGGACGUGAAAGAUCAUAUCGCUAUUAGAUGAGCCUAUGUUAGAUUAGCUAGUUGGUAGGGUAAAGGCCUACCAAGGCAGUGAUCUAUAGCUGGUCUGAGAGGAUGAUCAGCCACACUGGAACUGAGAUACGGUCCAGACUCCUACGGGAGGCAGCAGUGGGGAAUAUUGGACAAUGGGCGCAAGCCUGAUCCAGCUAUGCCGCGUGAGUGAGGAAGGCCUUAGGGUUGUAAAACUCUUUCAGUGGGGAAGAUAAUGACGGUACCCACAGAAGAAGUCCCGGCAAA